UCCGUAGGGGGCAAGCGUUGUCCGGAAUCAUUGGGCGUAAAGAGCGUGUAGGCGGCCAGAUAAGUCCGCUGUGAAAUCUCGAGGCUCAACUUCGAGCUGUCGGUGGAAACUGUCUGGCUAGAGUCCGGAAGAGGAGAAUGGAAUUCCUGGUGUAGCGGUGAAAUGCGCAGAUAUCAGGAAGAACACCCGUGGCGAAGGCGGUUCUCUGGGACGGUACUGACGCUGAGACGCGAAAGCGUGGGGAGCGAACAGG
This 253-nucleotide ribosomal RNA is filed under the name uncultured bacterium. RNAcentral's name for it is "partial 16S ribosomal RNA". It matches the Rfam family "Bacterial small subunit ribosomal RNA", at positions 524 to 776 of the family's 1533-position model. The record is from RNAcentral.